UACGGAGGGGGCGAGCGUUGUUCGGAGUUACUGGGCGUAAAGCGCACGUAGGCGGUGCGGUAAGUCAGGGGUUAAAGGCUGCAGCUCAACUGCAGUAAGGCCUUUGAUACUAUCGUGCUAGAGUGUCAGAGAGGAUGGCGGAAUUCCCGGUGUAGCGGUGAAAUGCGUAGAUAUCGGGAGGAAGGUCGGUGGCGAAGGCGGCCUCCUGGGCCUGCACUGACGCUGAGGCUCGAAAGCGUGGGGAGCAAACAGG
Molecule: ribosomal RNA, 253 nt
Filed under: uncultured microorganism
Description: partial 16S ribosomal RNA
Rfam family: Bacterial small subunit ribosomal RNA
Source: RNAcentral